UCGGAAGAAGACGUUAUCAGAGAUAUGGGAGGCACUAUUGUAGCGGGUUUCGACUCAACCGCCCACGUUCUGUCCUGGGCUCUUUAUUUCUUGGGAAGAUUCCACGAUAUACAAGAGAAAGUGUAUCUAGAAUUGCAAGAAAUUUUUAAAAAUGAUUUCAAUAGAAAUAUUACUAUCGAUGACCUGACGAAAAUGACGUACUUAGAAUGCGUAAUUAAGGAGUCUAUGAG
Molecule: long non-coding RNA, 230 nt
Organism: Centruroides sculpturatus (bark scorpion)
Lineage: Eukaryota; Metazoa; Arthropoda; Arachnida; Scorpiones; Buthidae
Exons: 3
Source: RefSeq, a predicted model, not a curated record